GUCCCCCCCCCCCCCCCCCCCCCCCCCCCCCCCCCCCCCCCCCCCCCCCCCCCCCCCCCCCCCCCCCCCCCCCCCCCCUUGAUCAAUUUCGAGAGACGAAAACUUUAUUUCCUUCGAAUCAGUCUUAUUUUCACGAACCAAAGCGUUUGAAGUACCAUCGUAUUUGGGGGGAAAACGUAGUCCUGUCUUAGACGCGAUUGUUCGCUUUGGACAAUUUUAUGGAGAAUCGGAAAUAGAUGAAGGCAACAAUACCGAAGAAGAAGCUAGGUUAGGGCAACGAUUAGCGGCGAACGAGGUCCCGAAGCCACUCGGAGCCGCCAUUCAAGCGAUGAAUAGCAGCGGAGAGCGAGCUUCGAAACCCCAAAUCGAUGAAUGUAUCGGAGCAGGUGGAGGAGAAGAAGAAUUGAGGAAACGCGUUGAGGAGAGAGAGAGAGAGUAAUUUUGGUUUCAACGAAUUUUUCAAAACAUAGGUUUGGUGAGUUAGGUACUUGGUGCGAAAUAUUUGACCCAAGCAAUAGAGAAUUCUCUCUCCAUAGAUCGUUAGAAGGACGUGCACGCG
This 559-nucleotide long non-coding RNA is filed under the name Actinidia chinensis (golden kiwifruit). Its description in RNAcentral is "long non-coding RNA (ACHI_LNC008970)". The record is from RNAcentral. Lineage: Eukaryota; Viridiplantae; Streptophyta; Magnoliopsida; Ericales; Actinidiaceae.